RNAcentral lists this ribosomal RNA (253 nucleotides) under uncultured bacterium. Its description in RNAcentral is "partial 16S ribosomal RNA". It matches the Rfam family "Bacterial small subunit ribosomal RNA", at positions 524 to 776 of the family's 1533-position model. The record is from RNAcentral.
UACGUAGGGUGCAAGCGUUGCUCGGAAUCAUUGGGCGUAAAGAGCGUGUAGGUGGCAAGGUAAGUCGGAUGUGAAAUCCCUCGGCCCAACCGAGGAAGUGCAUUCGAAACUACCUAGCUCGAGGACGACAGAGGAAGGUGGAAUUCCUAGUGUAGAGGUGAAAUUCGUAGAUAUUAGGAGGAAUACCGGUGGCGAAGGCGGCCUUCUGGAUCGUUCCUGACACUGAGACGCGAAAGCGUGGGUAGCAAACAGG